GGCUCACUGCAACCUCUGCCUCCAAGGUUCAAGCGAUUCUCUUGCUUCAGACUUGCCAGUAGCUGGGAUUACAGACGUGCACUGCCACACUUGGCUAAUUUUUGUAUUUUUAGUAGAUACAAGGUUUGUAAGGAAGGAGUCCAGUUUCAAUGUUCUGCAUAUGGCUAGCCAGUUCUCCCAGGUCCAUUUAUUAAAUAGGGAAUCCUUUCCCCAUUGCUUGUUUGUGUCAGAUUUGUUGAAGAUCAGAUGGUUGUAGGUGUGUGGUCUUAUUUCUGAGUUCUCUAUUCUGUUCUAUUGGUCUAUGUGUCUGUUCUUGUACCAGUACCAUGCUGUUUUGGUUACUGUAGCCUUGUAGUAUAGUUUGAAGUUGGGUAGCAUGAUGCUUCCAGCUUUGUUCUUUUCUCUUAGGAUGAUUGUGGCUAUUUGAACUCUUUUUUGGUUCCAUAUGAUUUUUUUUUUGCCUCAGUUUCCUUAUUUAUUUAUUUAUUUGUUUAUUUUUUAUUAUUAUACUUUAAGUUUUAGGGUACAUGUGCACAAUGUGCAGGUUAGUUACAUAUGUAUACAUGUGCCUUGCUGGUGCGCUGCACCCACCAACUCAUCAUCUAGCAUUAGGUAUAUCUCCCAGUGCUAUCCCUCCCCCCUCCCCCCACCCCACAACAGUCCCCAGAGUGUGAUAGUUUUUUUUUUCUAAUUCUGUGAAGAAUGUCAAUGGUAGUUUAAUGGAAAUAGCAUUGAAUCAAUCUAUAAAUUGCUUUGGGCAGUAUGGCCAUUUUCAUGAUAUUGAUUCUUUCUAUUUAUGAACAUGGAAUAUUUUUCAAUUGUUUGUGUCCUCCCUAAUUUUCUUGAGCACUGAUUUGUAGUACUCCUUGAAGAGGUCCUUCACUUCCCUUGUUAGCUGUAUUCCUAGGUAUUUUAUUCUCUUUGUAGCAACUGUGAGUGGGAGUUCAUUCAUGAUUUCACUCUCUGCUUUUCUGUUGUUGGUGUAGG
RNAcentral lists this long non-coding RNA (987 nucleotides) under Pan troglodytes (chimpanzee). RNAcentral describes it as "long non-coding RNA NONPTRT016656". The record is from RNAcentral. Lineage: Eukaryota; Metazoa; Chordata; Mammalia; Primates; Hominidae.